UGUUUGAUUGAGUUAAGGGUGUCUUUGGAAAUGCGAAAAAUAAUUUCUGUAAAUCAUUUUUCGAGUUUCUAGUGUUUGGAUGUGCCUGGAAAAUCAAGUCAACGGAAAUUAUUUCUGUUGAUUUG
Molecule: long non-coding RNA, 125 nt
Organism: Ipomoea nil (Japanese morning glory)
Lineage: Eukaryota; Viridiplantae; Streptophyta; Magnoliopsida; Solanales; Convolvulaceae
Exons: 3
Source: RefSeq, a predicted model, not a curated record